ACAAAACCGCGUGUUAUGAUUGAUUAAAUGCGCUGAUACGUCAUCGUGACUGUUAAACACAUAACGCUGAGACUCAUCAACACUCAUCAACAGAGCGCUGUUCAUGACAGUGAUGAAAAAGCAAUGCUAUUUAAUAAGACUUAAAUCUAAUACAUUUUGAACUUUGAAUAAAAGCCACAGUAAAACAUGAGUAACGAAGGGAAAUAAGGAGUAUAUCUGAUUUUGAAUCUAAUUAUUUAAAUUUUGCUUAAAUGGUUUGCACCUCCGGUUUGCACCUGUGGUUUUGUGUAAUCCUAGCCCGCCGUUAAUUUUAUUAACUGCGGGAUGAAGAAAAAAAGACCUAUAAGUAUGGAUGUGACCAUGACUCUGAGGUGGAUAAUUUCUCCCAAUGCCCGCUUUUGCCGACAGUCCUGCUUUAGUGUGUUARUUGUUAUGUCUGUGGCGAGAACAAGAGCACAAACAAGAACACGUUAACCUGCCACGGCUUUAUGGACAUGCGCAGUUGAGUGGCUUYAWGUGGCGUUCAAUGAACGUCACCAGCAUUUGAUGAGCGCCUCUCCCACAGUAAAUUACAUUUAUAUUUUCUAUUUAAUAUUUUUUUAUGACAGUGAUGAAGAAGUAGUGUUAUUUAAUAACAAUUUAUGCCAAUACAUUUUGAACUUUCAACAAAAGUCACAGUAAGGCAUAAGUAACGAAGGGAAUUAAUAAUUAGUCUAUAUAAUUUUGAAUGUUAUAAUUAAUUCUAAUUCGAUAAAAAAUAAAUGCAGUUCAAAAUGUUUGUUUCAAAACCCGAAUUGUACAUGAGACUUAAAAUUGGUGCCAAAUCUUUCUUGAAUUGAUUUAACAAGCAUGUAAAAGCCACAGUCGUAAUCGAAGUGGAAAUAUCCGAGUCCUCCUGAAUGCCUCUGACACAUGACGUGACGUUCUUUGCCGUUACCUUCUCACUUCUUCGUUUGUCCCCAACAGAUGAAAGAAAACUGCUCACCAGCGUUCUUUGCCUGACAACCUAGAUAUUUCCACCAAAUUCUGCUCAGUGAGAGAGAAGUGGACCCAAACACCUUUCUCCCUGGUGAGCGGAUGUUUCAACGUGGAUCAGCCGAGCUGUCACAGCUGAUCCAACUUGACUCACACACAAUUUGAAUAAAAUCAUGUCCACAAACAUUUGCUUUAAAUUAGAUUCAAACAGGAUAUGUUGGUUAUGCUCACAUGACGACCCUGUUGUCCAAAACCCUGUAAGAAACAUGACUCAGUACUGCAACAACCCUCUGAGUUGUUUUCUGGACUCAUGAUGAGGUUUUCUGUCACUCAAUUUAAUCUCUGUGAUGAAGAAGGUCAAGUCAACAUUAAAUUCUGCUAAAGCAACUGGCUCUUUUAUCUGUUGGUAUGCUGGGAUGCAUCUUAUUUCAGUAAGAAUAUCAUAAUCUACAUUCAUUGAACUAUUUCAAUAAAGGUCAUGAAAACACAGCAACAACCCAAUUCACACCACAAAGCUUAGUUCACAAUAGUAGUAGGUAUGAAUCUCUUCACAGUUUGAACCUUUUCAGAUGAAAUCUGACCCAGAAGCYKCUCUGUUGAGAAUGUUUYAUUUUGAUGUCUAUUGGC
Poecilia reticulata (guppy) is the source of this 1602-nucleotide non-coding RNA. Lineage: Eukaryota; Metazoa; Chordata; Actinopteri; Cyprinodontiformes; Poeciliidae. The record is from RefSeq and is a predicted model, not a curated record.